GCACAACCAACCAUACCAAUUAACCAAAGAUUAACCAGGAUGGUGCCCGAGAGAGCUCAGGAGAGGGUAAACUGAAGUACUAGGGUGCAAGGCGGCAGCGUGUCACCUUUUCACAUUCGAUUCGUUCUACAAAAUAAUGCAUAUUCGUGUCAUAAUUGAAACUGUUAAAUACACUAGGUUUACCUUCCUUCUCUCUCCCACUGUUUAUUAUACAAGUGUGAUGCUUAUUUUCUCAGAGAAACAGCCCCGGAACACUGGGACCUGCGUGUCCGGCGUGCCCAGCUCCCAAGGGCCCGGCUCCCAGUCACACUGCGACUCUGGGCCACUACUCUGGGAUCUCCAAAUCUCGCUCUGAAUCUUUUCCCGAACAAUUUCAAAACAAAGAGAAAAAUACUGCACUAGUAUCCAGCCUGUGCAUUCGGAGCAGACGAGAAUCCGAAAGGCAGCCCGUUCUGUAACACUCUUCCUAUACAUCAGGUAAGGAAAACCGGAUAUGGACAAAUGAACCCAACUCUGGGCCACCAUUUAUCGACUUUCCUGUGCGAAAGCGGCACUGUCAGGGGCUGCGUACUUUCUAACAAUUUCUGAACCUCGCUCUCUAAAUCUUCCAAGGUCUCGUCCCCAGACGCCGGCUAACAAAACCUG
This 645-nucleotide long non-coding RNA is filed under the name Fukomys damarensis (Damara mole-rat). Its description in RNAcentral is "lncRNA (ENSFDAG00000030694.1)". Lineage: Eukaryota; Metazoa; Chordata; Mammalia; Rodentia; Bathyergidae. The record is from RNAcentral.